RNAcentral lists this ribosomal RNA (531 nucleotides) under uncultured bacterium. RNAcentral's name for it is "bacterial SSU rRNA". It matches the Rfam family "Bacterial small subunit ribosomal RNA", at positions 28 to 605 of the family's 1533-position model. The record is from RNAcentral.
AACGAACGCUGGCGGCAGGCCUAAUACAUGCAAGUCGAACGCCGUAGCAAUACGGAGUGGCAGACGGGUGAGUAACGCGUGGGAACCUUCCCAAUGGUACGGAAUAGCCCGGGGAAACCCGGAGUAAUACCGUAUAAGCCCGCAAGGGGAAAGAUUUAUCGCCAUUGGAUGGGCCCGCGUCGGAUUAGCUAGUUGGUGGGGUAACGGCCUACCAAGGCGACGAUCCGUAGCUGGUCUGAGAGGAUGAUCAGCCACACUGGGACUGAGACACGGCCCAGACUCCUACGGGAGGCAGCAGUAGGGAAUAUUGGACAAUGGGCGAAAGCCUGAUCCAGCCAUGCCGCGUGAGUGACGAAGGCCUUAGGGUUGUAAAGCUCUUUUACCCGGGAUGAUAAUGACAGUACCGGGAGAAUAAGCCCCGGCUAACUCCGUGCCAGCAGCCGCGGUAAUACGGAGGGGGCUAGCGUUGUUCGGAAUUACUGGGCGUAAAGCGCGCGUAGGCGGCUUUGUAAGUUAGAGGUGAAAGCCCGG